GGAUUUAGCUCAGUUGGUAGAGUGCUUGCCUCACAUGCACGGGCCCUGGGUUCAAUCCCCAGCCACUGGGUUCA
Molecule: transfer RNA, 74 nt
Filed under: Marmota monax (woodchuck)
Lineage: Eukaryota; Metazoa; Chordata; Mammalia; Rodentia; Sciuridae
Description: tRNA.Val
Rfam family: tRNA (bases 6-62)
About the family: Transfer RNA (tRNA) molecules are approximately 80 nucleotides in length. Their secondary structure includes four short double-helical elements and three loops (D, anti-codon, and T loops). Further hydrogen bonds mediate the characteristic L-shaped molecular structure. tRNAs have two regions of fundamental functional importance: the anti-codon, which is responsible for specific mRNA codon recognition, and the 3' end, to which the tRNAs corresponding amino acid is attached (by aminoacyl-tRNA synthetases). tRNAs cope with the degeneracy of the genetic code in two manners: having more than one tRNA (with a specific anti-codon) for a particular amino acid; and 'wobble' base-pairing, i.e. permitting non-standard base-pairing at the 3rd anti-codon position.
Source: RNAcentral